Molecule: ribosomal RNA, 427 nt
Filed under: uncultured prokaryote
Description: bacterial SSU rRNA
Rfam family: Bacterial small subunit ribosomal RNA
Source: RNAcentral
UGGGGAAUCAUGGUCAAUGGGCGAAAGUCUGACGGAGCGACGCCGCGUGGAUGAAGAAGGCCGAAAGGUUGUAAAAUCCUUUUGCCGAGGAAGAAUAAGUGUGGGAGGGAAUGCCCGCAUGAUGACAUGAAUCGGCGAAUAAGCCCCGGCCAACUACGUGCCAGCAGCCGCGGUAACACGUAGGGGGCGAGCGUUGUUCGGAAUUACUGGGCGUAAAGGGCAUGUAGGCGGUUAUGUAAGCCUGGCGUGAAAGUCCACAGCUUAACUGUGGGAUUGCGUUGGGAACUAGAUGACUAGAGUUACGGAGAGGGAGCUAGAAUUCCUGGUGUAGGGGUGGAAUCUGUAGAGAUCAGGAAGAAUACCGAUGGCGAAGGCAAGCUCCUGGCCGAUGACUGACGCUGAGGUGCGAAAGUGUGGGGAUCAAACA